RNAcentral lists this ribosomal RNA (500 nucleotides) under uncultured bacterium. RNAcentral's name for it is "partial 16S ribosomal RNA". It matches the Rfam family "Bacterial small subunit ribosomal RNA", at positions 29 to 523 of the family's 1533-position model. The record is from RNAcentral.
AUUGAACGCUGGCGGAAUGCUUUACACAUGCAAGUCGAACGGCAGCACGGGGGCAACCCUGGAUGCGAGUGGCGAACGGGUGAGUAAUACAUCGGAAUGUGCCCAGUCGUGGGGGAUGACGUAGCGAAAGUAACGCUAAUACCGCAUACGAUCUACGGAUGAAAGCGGGGGACCGUAAGGCCUUGCCCGAGUGGAUGGGCCGAUGUCAGAUUAGGUAGUGGGUGGGGUAAAGGCUCACCAAGCCGACGAUCUGUAGCUGGUCUGAGAGGACGACCGGCCACACUGGGACUGAGACACGCCCCAGACUCGUACGGGGGGAAGCAGUGGGGAAUUUUGGAAAAUGGGGGCAAGCCUGUUCCAGCAAUUCCGCGUGCAGGACGAAGGCCUUCGGGUUGUAAGCUGCUUUUGUACGGAACAAAAAGGCUAUGGUUAAUACCCGGGGCUCAUGACGGUACCGUAAGAAUAAGCACCGGCUAACUACGUGCCAGCCGCCGCAGUAA